This 373-nucleotide ribosomal RNA is filed under the name uncultured organism. RNAcentral's name for it is "partial 16S ribosomal RNA". It matches the Rfam family "Bacterial small subunit ribosomal RNA", at positions 527 to 896 of the family's 1533-position model. The record is from RNAcentral.
GGAGGGCGCAAGCGUUGUUCGGAAUCAUUGGGCGUAAAGCGCGUGUAGGCGGCUUGGCAAGUCGGGUGUGAAAGCCCGGGGCUCAACCCCGGAACUGCACUCGAAACUGUCUCGCUCGAGUCCCGGAGAGGAGGGCGGAAUUCCCGGUGUAGAGGUGAAAUUCGUAGAUAUCGGGAGGAACACCAGCGGCGAAGGCGGCCCUCUGGACGGUGACUGACGCUGAGACGCGAAAGCGUGGGGAGCAAACAGGAUUAGAUACCCUGGUAGUCCACGCCGUAAACGUUGGGUGCUAGGUGUCGCGGGUAUUGACCCCCCUGCGGUGCCGUCGUUAACGCAUCUAGCACCCCGCCUGGGGAGUACGGUCGCAAGGCUA